AUCUUGCACAAUGGGGGCAACCCUGAUGCAGCGACGCCGCGUGAGCGAUGAAGCCCUUCGGGUCGUAAAGCUCUUUCGACCGGAACGAUAAUGACGGUACCGGGAGACGACGCUGCGGCUAACUACGUGCCAGCAGCCGCGGUAAUACGUGGGCAGCAAGCGGUGUUCGGAGUUACUGGGCGUAAAGAGUGCUUAGGCGGUUUUCUAAGUUCGGUGUGAAAUCUCCCGGUUUAACUGGGAGGGUGCGCCGAAGACUGGGAAGCUGGAGUGUGGGAAAGGCAGGCGGAAUUCCUGGUGUAGCGGUGAAAUGCGUAGAUAUCAGGAGGAACACCGGCGGUGUAGACGGCUUGCUAGACCAUAACUGACGCUGAGGCACGAAAGCGUGGGUAGCAAACA
This 396-nucleotide ribosomal RNA is filed under the name uncultured bacterium. RNAcentral's name for it is "bacterial SSU rRNA". It matches the Rfam family "Bacterial small subunit ribosomal RNA", at positions 361 to 774 of the family's 1533-position model. The record is from RNAcentral.